GUGGGUGUGGUGUAUGGUACACAGCUGCUUGAUGUAAGUAAUGUUGAUACAAUUAAAGCAGCAGACCUGGGUUUGACUCCCAGUGCCCGCA
Molecule: non-coding RNA, 91 nt
Organism: Mycena galericulata
Lineage: Eukaryota; Fungi; Basidiomycota; Agaricomycetes; Agaricales; Mycenaceae
Source: the annotation of a GenBank genome assembly